GGGUUGUGAGGUUAAGCGACUAAGCGUACACGGUGGAUGCCCUGGCAGUCAGAGGCGAUGAAGGACGUGCUAAUCUGCGAUAAGCGUCGGURAGGUGAUAUGAACCGUUAUAACCGGCGAUUUCCGAAUGGGGAAACCCAGUGUGWUUCGWCACACUAUCAUUAACUGAAUCCAUAGGUUAAUGAGGCGAACCGGGGGAACUGAAACAUCUAAGUACCCCGAGGAAAAGAAAUCAACCGAGAUUCCCCCAGUAGCGGCGAGCGAACGGGGAGGAGCCCAGAGCCUGAAUCAGUGUGUGUGUUAGUGGAAGCGUCUGGAAAGGCGCGCGAUACAGGGUGACAGCCCCGUACACAAAAAUGCACAUACUGUGAGCUCGAUGAGUAGGGCGGGACACGUGGUAUCCUGUCUGAAUAUGGGGGGACCAUCCUCCAAGGCUAAAUACUCCUGACUGACCGAUAGUGAACCAGUACCGUGAGGGAAAGGCGAAAAGAACCCCGGCGAGGGGAGUGAAAAAGAACCUGAAACCGUGUACGUACAAGCAGUGGGAGCCUCUUAAUGGGGUGACUGCGUACCUUUUGUAUAAUGGGUCAGCGACUUAUAUUCUGUAGCAAGGUUAACCGAAUAGGGGAGCCGAAGGGAAACCGAGUCUUAACUGGGCGUUAAGUUGCAGGGUAUAGACCCGAAACCCGGUGAUCUAGCYAUGGGCAGGUUGAAGGUUGGGUAACACUAACUGGAGGACCGAACCGACUAAUGUUGAAAAAUUAGCGGAUGACUUGUGGCUGGGGGUGAAAGGCCAAUCAAACCGGGAGAUAGCUGGUUCUCCCCGAAAGCUAUUUAGGUAGCGCCUCGUGAAUUCAUCUCCGGGGGUAGAGCACUGUUUCGGCAAGGGGGUCAUCCCGACUUACCAACCCGAUGCAAACUGCGAAUACCGGAGAAUGUUAUCACGGGAGACACACGGCGGGUGCUAACGUCCGUCGUGAAGAGGGAAACAACCCAGACCGCCAGCUAAGGUCCCAAAGUCAUGGUUAAGUGGGAAACGAUGUGGGAAGGCCCAGACAGCCAGGAUGUUGGCUUAGAAGCAGCCAUCAUUUAAAGAAAGCGUAAUAGCUCACUGGUCGAGUCGGCCUGCGCGGAAGAUGUAACGGGGCUAAACCAUGCACCGAAGCUGCGGCAGCGACGCUUAUGCGUUGUUGGGUAGGGGAGCGUUCUGUAAGCCUGUGAAGGUGGCCUGUGAGGGUUGCUGGAGGUAUCAGAAGUGCGAAUGCUGACAUAAGUAACGAUAAAGCGGGUGAAAAGCCCGCUCGCCGGAAGACCAAGGGUUCCUGUCCAACGUUAAUCGGGGCAGGGUGAGUCGACCCCUAAGGCGAGGCCGAAAGGCGUAGUCGAUGGGAAACAGGUUAAUAUUCCUGUACUUGGUGUUACUGCGAAGGGGGGACGGAGAAGGCUAUGUUGGCCGGGCGACGGUUGUCCCGGUUUAAGCGUGUAGGCUGGUUUUCCAGGCAAAUCCGGAAAAUCAAGGCUGAGGCGUGAUGACGAGGCACUACGGUGCUGAAGCGACAAAUGCCCUGCUUCCAGGAAAAGCCUCUAAGCAUCAGGUAACAUUAAAUCGUACCCCAAACCGACACAGGUGGUCAGGUAGAGAAUACCAAGGCGCUUGAGAGAACUCGGGUGAAGGAACUAGGCAAAAUGGUGCCGUAACUUCGGGAGAAGGCACGCUGAUAUGUAGGUGAAGCGACUUGCUCGUGGAGCUGAAAUCAGUCGAAGAUACCAGCUGGCUGCAACUGUUUAUUAAAAACACAGCACUGUGCAAACACGAAAGUGGACGUAUACGGUGUGACGCCUGCCCGGUGCCGGAAGGUUAAUUGAUGGGGUUAGCGGUAACGCGAAGCUCUUGAUCGAAGCCCCGGUAAACGGCGGCCGUAACUAUAACGGUCCUAAGGUAGCGAAAUUCCUUGUCGGGUAAGUUCCGACCUGCACGAAUGGCGUAAUGAUGGCCAGGCUGUCUCCACCCGAGACUCAGUGAAAUUGAACUCGCUGUGAAGAUGCAGUGUACCCGCGGCAAGACGGAAAGACCCCGUGAACCUUUACUAUAGCUUGACACUGAACAUUGAGCCUUGAUGUGUAGGAUAGGUGGGAGGCUUUGAAGUGUGGACGCCAGUCUGCAUGGAGCCGACCUUGAAAUACCACCCUUUAAUGUUUGAUGUUCUAACGUGGGCCCCUUACCGGGGUUGCGGACAGUGUCUGGUGGGUAGUUUGACUGGGGCGGUCUCCUCCUAAAGAGUAACGGAGGAGCACGAAGGUUGGCUAAUCCUGGUCGGACAUCAGGAGGUUAGUGCAAUGGCAUAAGCCAGCUUGACUGCGAGCGUGACGGCGCGAGCAGGUGCGAAAGCAGGUCAUAGUGAUCCGGUGGUUCUGAAUGGAAGGGCCAUCGCUCAACGGAUAAAAGGUACUCCGGGGAUAACAGGCUGAUACCGCCCAAGAGUUCAUAUCGACGGCGGUGUUUGGCACCUCGAUGUCGGCUCAUCACAUCCUGGGGCUGAAGUAGGUCCCAAGGGUAUGGCUGUUCGCCAUUUAAAGUGGUACGCGAGCUGGGUUUAGAACGUCGUGAGACAGUUCGGUCCCUAUCUGCCGUGGGCGCUGGAGAACUGAGGGGGGCUGCUCCUAGUACGAGAGGACCGGAGUGGACGCAUCACUGGUGUUCGGGUUGUCAUGCCAAUGGCACUGCCCGGUAGCUAAAUGCGGAAGAGAUAAGUGCUGAAAGCAUCUAAGCACGAAACUUGCCCCGAGAUGAGUUCUCCCUGACUCCUUGAGAGUCCUGAAGGAACGUUGAAGACGACGACGUUGAUAGGCCGGGUGUGUAAGCGCAGCGAUGCGUUGAGCUAACCGGUACUAAUGAACCGUGAGGCUUAACCUUACAACGCCGAAGGUGUUU
This 2932-nucleotide ribosomal RNA is filed under the name Escherichia coli. Its description in RNAcentral is "bacterial LSU rRNA". It matches the Rfam family "Bacterial large subunit ribosomal RNA". Lineage: Bacteria; Pseudomonadati; Pseudomonadota; Gammaproteobacteria; Enterobacterales; Enterobacteriaceae. The record is from RNAcentral.